AUUGAACGCUGGCGGCAGGCCUAACACAUGCAAGUCGAGCGAGAAAGUCCUUCGGGAUGAGUAGAGCGGCGGACGGGUGAGUAAUGCGCAGGAAUCUGCCCAAAAGCGGGGGAUAACUUGGGGAAACCCAAGCUAAUACCGCAUAAUCCUACGGGUGAAAGAUGGGGACCUUCGGGCCUAUCACUUUUGGAGGAGCCUGCGUGGGAUUAGCUAGUUGGUGGGGUAAAGGCCUACCAAGGCGACGAUCCCUAGCUGGUCUGAGAGGAUGAUCAGCCACACUGGGACUGAGACACGGCCCAGACUCCUACGGGAGGCAGCAGUGGGGAAUAUUGGACAAUGGGCGCAAGCCUGAUCCAGCCAUGCCGCGUGUGUGAAGAAGGCUCUAGGGUUGUAAAGCACUUUAAGUUGUGAGGAAGAGUGUAAAAUUAAUACUUUUGCAUUUUGACGUUAGCAACAGAAUAAGCACCGGCUAACUCCG
This 478-nucleotide ribosomal RNA is filed under the name uncultured Gammaproteobacteria bacterium. Its description in RNAcentral is "bacterial SSU rRNA". It matches the Rfam family "Bacterial small subunit ribosomal RNA", at positions 30 to 505 of the family's 1533-position model. The record is from RNAcentral. Lineage: Bacteria; Pseudomonadati; Pseudomonadota; Gammaproteobacteria.